RNAcentral lists this ribosomal RNA (116 nucleotides) under Bacillus paranthracis. RNAcentral also lists the same sequence under 1 other name. The record is from RNAcentral. Lineage: Bacteria; Bacillati; Bacillota; Bacilli; Caryophanales; Bacillaceae.
UCUGGUAAUGAUGGUAGAGAGGUCACACCCGUUCCCAUACCGAACACGGAAGUUAAGCUCUCUAGCGCCGAUGGUAGUUGGGACCUUGUCCCUGUGAGAGUAGGACGUUGCCAGGC